RNAcentral lists this ribosomal RNA (411 nucleotides) under Triticum aestivum (bread wheat). RNAcentral describes it as "partial small subunit ribosomal RNA". The record is from RNAcentral. Lineage: Eukaryota; Viridiplantae; Streptophyta; Magnoliopsida; Poales; Poaceae.
AUGGCAACUUUUACUAUGUUAGCCAUACGAACAGCUUCAGAUGUGUUGUGUUGCCAUGGCAAGUUUACAUGUUUUUCCCAUCCACCAUUUAAAACGAUGAUUUUCGACCAUGGAAAAUUAGCAAUGUUCCCUAUUUUAUUACAACUUAAGUUGUUUUUCCAUGGCAAAUUUUUUUCCGUUUGGAGUAUUUUUCACAUGCCAACUAAGAAAUCAUCUAAAGCUGCCAUGGCAACUUUGGAUUAUUUUUCCACACACCAACUAACAAAUCAUCUAAAGUUUGCCAUGGAAACUUUUACUACGACAACUUCAAAUGUGCGCCAUGCCAACUUAAGAUAUGUUGCCAUGGCAAAAAUUAAACCAUUUUUCCAUGGCAAAUUUUACUCCAUUUUAUGCCAUGGCAAACUUCUUUAG